Molecule: ribosomal RNA, 1031 nt
Filed under: uncultured bacterium
Lineage: Bacteria
Description: bacterial SSU rRNA
Rfam family: Bacterial small subunit ribosomal RNA
Source: RNAcentral
GAGUUUGAUCCUGGCUCAGGACGAACGCUGGCGGCGUGCUUAACACAUGCAAGUCGAGCGGUAAGGCCCCUUUUGGGGGGUACACGAGCGGCGAACGGGUGAGUAACACGUGGGUGACCUGCCUUCAGCUCUGGGAUAAGCCUGGGAAACUGGGUCUAAUACCGGAUAUGACCUUGGGACGCAUGUUUUGGGGUGGAAAGUUUUUUCGGCUGGAGAUGGGCCCGCGGCCUAUCAGCUAGUUGGUGAGGUAACGGCCCACCAAGGCGUCGACGGGUAGCUGGUCUGAGAGGAUGAUCAGCCACACUGGGACUGAGACACGGCCCAGACUCCUACGGGAGGCAGCAGUGGGGAAUCUUGCGCAAUGGGCGAAAGCCUGACGCAGCAACGCCGCGUGCGGGACGACGGCCCUCGGGUUGUAAACCGCUUUCAGCAGGAACGAUGAUGACGGUACCUGCAGAAGAAGCUCCGGCCAACUACGUGCCAGCAGCCGCGGUAAUACGUAGGGAGCAAGCGUUGUCCGGAUUUAUUGGGCGUAAAGAGCUCGUAGGCGGUUCGGUAAGUCGGGUGUGAAAACUCUGGGCUCAACCCGGAGAGGCCACUCGAUACUGCUGUGACUUGAGUCUGGUAGGGGAGCACGGAAUUCCUGGUGUAGCGGUGAAAUGCACAGAUAUCAGGAGGAACACCGGUGGCGAANGCGGUGCUCUGGGCCAGUACUGACGCUGAAGAGCGAAAGCGUGGGGAGCGAACAGGAUUAGAUACCCUGGUAGUCCACGCCGUAAACGUUGGGCACUANGUGUGGGGGGACGUCAACUCCCUCCGUGCCGUAACUAACGCAUNAAGUGCCCCGCCUGGGGAGUACGGCCNCANGCUNAAACUCAAAGGANUGACGGGGNCCNCACAACGGCGAAACAUGUGCUUAUUCNAUGCACGUGAAAACUUACUGGUUUGAAUGCGGNAAANCCNAAAAUUUGUGUCUACGGGCCUCCAAGUGGGCAUGCUUCCUCACUCUGUCUGAAUNUNGNUAAUCCCAC